GACGAACGCUGGCGGCGUGCUUAACACAUGCAGGUCGAACGGAAAGGCCCUGCUUUUGUGGGGUGCUCGAGUGGCGAACGGGUGAGUAACACGUGAGUAACCUGCCCUUGACUUUGGGAUAACUUCAGGAAACUGGGGCUAAUACCGGAUAGGAGCUCCUGCUGCAUGGUGGGGGUUGGAAAGUUUCGGCGGUUGGGGAUGGACUCGCGGCUUAUCAGCUUGUUGGUGGGGUAGUGGCUUACCAAGGCUUUGACGGGUAGCCGGCCUGAGAGGGUGACCGGCGACAAUGGGACUGAGAUACGGCGCAGACUCCUACGGGAGGCAGCAGUGGGGAAUAUUGCACAAUGGGCGGAAGCCUGAUGCAGCAACGCCGCGUGCGGGAUGACGGCCUUCGGGUUGUAAACCGCUUUCGCCUGUGACGAAGCGUGAGUGACGGUAAUGGGUAAAGAAGCACCGGCUAACUACGUG
Molecule: ribosomal RNA, 468 nt
Filed under: uncultured bacterium
Lineage: Bacteria
Description: partial 16S ribosomal RNA
Rfam family: Bacterial small subunit ribosomal RNA
Source: RNAcentral